GUGUUUCACCAAUAAUGGAAUAGUAGUGGUGAGUGAGUGAUGAAUGAUGUGAUAAAAGGGGUGUGAGUUUGACAAAAAACAAAAGGGGUGUGAGAAAAUAAUGACACUCCUCAAUUAGGCACAUUCAUCAAAUUUUCAGAAAACCUUUUUCUUUUUUCUGCUGCUGUUUGUUUAUCUCUUCAAUUACAAGAUUAGAGAUCACUGUUGUGUGAUAUUUGCCUUGAAUUUAGUGUAGUGUAGAUAUAUCAAUAGAUCAAAGAAGUAGAGAAACUAUGGUGGAAGAAGCGCUUCCGAUGGAAUUAGAUAACCAGGUCGUUCCCGAUGCUCUUCCAUUUGCUAGAAGCUAUCAGGUUGAAGCGUUGAAUAAAGCAGUCCGGGAAAAUACCAUUGUGUUUUUGGAUACUGGUUCGGGCAAGACUUUGAUAGCUAUCAUGCUUCUUCGCAGCUAUGCAUAUAGACUGCGAAAGCCUUCUACUUCCGUUGCAGUGUUCUUGGUUCCCACAGUUGUGUUGGUUAGCCAACAAGCUAAAGCCUUGGAAGCUCACGCCGACUUAAAAGUGGGAAUGUAUUAUGGAGAUAUGGGUGUUGAUUUCUGGGAUGCUGCUACGUGGAAACAGCAAAUCGAGAAACAAGAGGUGCUUGUCAUGACGCCUCAAAUAUUACUUGAUUGCUUGAGGCAUAGCUUUAUUAAGCUACAAAUGAUCAAGGUUUUGAUACUUGAUGAAUGCCACCAUACAAAGGGCAGACACCCCUAUUCACGCAUAAUGACAGAAUUUUAUCAUCACCAAUUACAAUCUGGUAUAUCUGACCUCCCUCGAAUUUUUGGGAUGACUGCAUCUCCAGUUAAGUCGAAAGCUGGAAAUUCUGAGUUGACCAUGUCAAAAUAUAUUCGGGAUUUAAUGACUCUAAUGCACUCAAAGGUUUAUACAUAUACAAGUGAAGCUGUUAUCAGGGAGUUCAUGCCAAUCUCAACCCCAAAAUUCAAGUUUUAUGAGGCAAAUGCACUUGGAAUUGUGUUUGAAGAAUUAGCAAUUAAACUCAAGAAGUUAAAAGAGAAGCAUGAACUAUUCCUUAGAAGUACAGAUUUCACAAAAUCAGCUACCGAGUAUGCAGAAAAAAGAAUAACAAAGUUCUUUUGUUCUUUGAUGUAUUGCUUGGAGGAUCUUGGUGUUUGGCUGGCUUUCAAGGCUGCAGAGUCCUUAUCUUCCAAUGAAACUGGACCUCUUUCAUGUGGUAACUCUGCAAAUAAAACUGUUAAAAUGUUUUGUUUGGCUACUGUUCAGGAACUGAAAACGUACUUACUAUCUGGUCCUCAGCAAUCUAUUAGUGACAAUAUGAAACAUGAUGUGGAAACGGGGCUGUUAACCUCCAAAGUUUUCUGUCUUAUUGACACUCUACUUGAGUACAGGGAUUUGACUGACCUGAGAUGCAUAGUUUUUGUGGAAAGGGUCAUUACAGCCAUUGUCCUUCCGACUUUGUUAAAUGCGGUGCUUCCAAAAUACAAUAGCUGGAAGACCAAGUUCGUUGCAGGAAAUAAUUGUGGAUUGCAAAGUCAAUCCAAGAAAGUGCAUGAUGGAAUUGUGGACGAUUUUCGUAAGGGAUUGGUCAACAUCAUUGUUGCAACAUCAAUUCUUGAAGAGGGUAUAGAUGUUAAAAGUUGCAAUUUGGUUAUUAGAUUCGACCCAUGUCACAAUGUGUGCAGUUUCAUACAAUCCCGUGGCCGUGCAAGAAUGCCCCAUUCAGAUUACAUAUUAAUGGUUCAGAGUGGGGAUUCAGUUACAUGUUCAAGACUUGAGAAAUACCUUUCUAGUGGGGAUAUUAUGAGGAAGGAAUCCUUGCGUCACUCUUCACUUCCAUGUGAUCCUUUAGAAAGUGAUCUAUUCCAUGAGGAAACUUAUCGUGUUGAAAGCACUGGAGCCAUUGUCAAUCUUAUUUCUAGCAUCGGUUUAUUACACCUGUAUUGCUCACGGCUCCCUGCAGAUGGGUACUUUAAACCAACUCCAAGGUGGGACAAAGAUACUGGAACAUUGUAUCUUCCUAAGAGCUGCCCUCUACCGGCUAUUUCUGUACAAGGUGACCGAAAGAUGUUAAAGAAUAUUGCAUGCCUUGAAGCAUGCAAACAACUUCAUAAGAUCGGAGCUUUAACAGAUAAGCUUGUUCCUGAUAUUGUUGUUGAAGAACAAGAGGUGGAGGAAUUUGGGAGUGAACCUUACGAUGAGAAACAACCAAGUUAUGUACCACGGGAAUUAGUGAAUCAGGUCUUGAAACACGGUGAAACAACCUACCAUUGUUAUUUGAUAGAGUUAAAACAAAAUUUUAGCUAUGAUAUCACUGUUCAAGACAUCUAUCUUGCAACGAGAGUUGAGCUCAAUCGAGAAAUUGCAAGCAUGCAAUUUGAUAUGGGUUUUGACAAAGGUUCCUUGUCAGUAAGCUUCAUACACAAAGGAGCCAUUCAUCUUUCCCCAGAUAUGGUAUCUUUAUGUAAAAGAUUCCAGGUUACUAUCCUUAGAAUUCUUCUCGAUCAUAAUAUGGAUAGGUUGCAAACUGCUUUAGAAAAGUGUUGUUUGGAAGAUGGUCUUGAGAUUGAUUAUCUUCUGCUUCCAAGUAUGGUUAAUGAGCAAGGACCAACUAUGAUCGGCUUACUGUUAAUUCGGUAAAUUCAUCUAAGAUUGUAUGUCAGGAUCACACACCCAAUAUACGAACCAAAGAGGGUCUAGUUUGCCGUUGCAUAAUACAAAAUUCUUUGGUUUGUACUCCUCAUAAUGGUUAUAUUUAUAUCACCACUGGUAUGAUGAAUUUGGAUGGAAACUCUCCUCUAAAACUUAAGAGUGGUGAAGUAAUUACGUACAAGAACUACUUUAAAAAGAAUCAUGGCACACAAUUGUAUUUUGAACAUCAAUGGCUACUUAAGGCAAAACGCAUUUUUCAAGUUAAAAAUUACUGUCAUGGACCCAGACAAGAGAAGGAUAGAGAAGCAAGCAAGACAUUUGUUGAAUUGCCUCCUGAACUAUGCUGUGUAAUCAUGUCACCAAUAUCAGACAUUACCAUUUAUUCCUUCUCAUUUAUCCCUUCCAUCAUGCAUAGACUUGAGUCUUUGCUUGUUGCUGUCAACCUAAAGAUGCAUAUGGGUAGUCGCUGGUUGAAUGAAAUUCACGCACGCAAGGUCCUGGAAGCAAUUACCACGAAAAGAUGUAAGGAGACCUUCCAUUACGAGUCUCUAGAGACUCUUGGAGAUUCUUUUUUAAAAUAUGCUGUCACUCAACAUCUUUUUCAGGCAUAUCAAAAUCACCAUGAAGGUCUCCUUACUCUGAAGAGGGUCAAGAUCAUUUCUAAUGCUGCGCUCUGUAAGUUAGGGUGCAGCUGUGGACUUCCGGGCUUCAUACGAAAUGAGCCUUUUGAUCCUAAUACUUGGAUUGUUCCUGGUGAUAAAUCUGGAGGUUUGAAAUUGAAAGAGUUGGUUUCCGAUGGGACUAAAGUUUAUUUUAGUGGAAUGAGAAAUUUAAAACGGAAGAUUAUUGCUGAUGUUGUUGAGGCACUUAUUGGUGCCUUCCUUAUCAGCGGUGGUGAAAAUGCUGCCCUGUUGUUUAUGGAUUGGGUUGGUAUUAAAGUUUGUUUUGAUAUCAUACCCUAUGAGAGGCACUUUAGCACCUGUGUGGAGAAGCUAGUGCACAUCAGCCUGCUAGAAUCCAAAUUAAAAUACUCAUUCCGUGAUAGUUCUCUUUUGGUAGAAGCUCUAACACAUGGUUCAUACAUGUUGCCGGAGGUGCCUACAUGUUAUCAGCGACUAGAGUUUCUUGGAGACUCAAUAUUGGAUUAUCUCAUUACUGUGCAUAUGUAUGAGAAAUAUCCUGGAAUGUCACCCGGGCAGUUAACUGACAUGAGGGCAGCAUCUGUAAAUAACGACUGUUAUGCAUGGUCAGCCAUUAAGGCUGGCUUGCAUAAACACAUACUCCAUGUGUCACAGGAUCUACAUAAGCAUAUCACGGAGGCCCUCGAGAAUUUUUACAGGUUGUCGUCAUCAUCAACUUUUGGAUGGGACAUAGACAUGGAGACACCAUUCCCUAAGGUACUUGGCGACAUUAUAGAGUCUCUGGCUGGAGCAAUUCUUGUUGAUUCAGGAUACAAUAAGGAGGCUGUGUGGCAAAGUAUAAGACCUCUUUUGGAACCCCUUGUGACACCUGAAACAUUCAAGCUCCAUCCCGUCGCAGAGUUGCAUAUACUAUGCCAGAGAAGAAAUUAUACUAUGAAUAAAAAAUUGUACCGUGAAGAUGGCGGUGUUCUUAAUUGUAUAAUAAAAGUAGAAACUGAUGAUGGGGUCAUUCACCAGCACAAGUACAGGGGUCCUGCUGAUAGAAAAACAGCCCAGAAGCUAGCCUCCAAGGAAAUUUUGAAGAGCUUGAAGCAGUAAACAUACCUCAGGACUCAAGUGAUGUUUACAUGCCUUGUAUGUGUAUAUUCUUUGAGCAAUUGUAACUGGGCUUAUAGUUAUAGAUGAUAAAUAACUAGACUGUAAAAUAUUUGUAAAGAAAAUGAAGAUGUAAUGAUUUUAUACAUAUGGAAAUCGUAAGAAGAACUAAAUUUGUUUAA
RNA transcript from Lotus japonicus, 4587 nucleotides. It is a transcript of the gene named endoribonuclease Dicer homolog 2-like, with no coding region annotated. The record is from RefSeq and is a predicted model, not a curated record. The transcript has 22 exons. NCBI's taxonomy places the organism in Eukaryota, Viridiplantae, Streptophyta, Magnoliopsida, Fabales, Fabaceae.